This 253-nucleotide ribosomal RNA is filed under the name uncultured bacterium. RNAcentral describes it as "partial 16S ribosomal RNA". It matches the Rfam family "Bacterial small subunit ribosomal RNA", at positions 524 to 776 of the family's 1533-position model. The record is from RNAcentral.
UACGUAGGGUCCGAGCGUUGUCCGGAAUUAUUGGGCGUAAAGAGCUCGUAGGCGGUUUGUCGCGUCUGCUGUGAAAACUCGGGGCUUAACUCCGGGCCUGCAGUGGGUACGGGCAGACUAGAGGUAUGCAGGGGAGAACGGAAUUCCUGGUGUAGCGGUGAAAUGCGCAGAUAUCAGGAGGAACACCAGUGGCGAAGGCGGGUCUCUGGGCCGAUACUGACGCUGAGGAGCGAAAGCGUGGGGAGCGAACAGG